UUUCCGCCCGCGGCUUCGCCCGCGUGGAAUUUUGUCUGUCACAGAAAAACUUUAUCGCGCGCGUCCCUGUUUCAAAAACCGGGAUAAAAACUAUCCUAUGUUCUUUCCCGGGACUCAAACUAUCUCUAUGCCAAAUUUCAUCAAAAUCGGUUGCGAGGUUUAAGCGGGAAAGCGUAACAGACAGACAGACAGACAGACAGACAGACAGACAGACAGACAGAGUUACUUUCGCAUUUAUAAUAUUAGUUGGGAUUAGUUGGGAUUUAGAAGUUUUGAAAAAGUUUGGACUUAUUGAGAGUACUAUGUUAUGAAAUUAUUGUAGUCCUACAUAACUUAAACAUAAUUAAAUUUUAAAUAGAAGGAGAAAUAAAACAACAAGUAUAAUUUAGUUAUUAAGCUAUUAUAAUUACUUAUAAUUUAUUACCAAAUCAAUAAAUAGUCAUGGAAAAUAGUGAAACUAUUAUUAAUAUAUUUUAUGUUCUAAUGCCAUAAAUUAUUGUUAACUUCUUAAUUUAUUUGAAAUAUUUGUCUGGAUGUUAAAAUAUGUUUAUGUCUAGUGUUAGUUGUAGACUGUAGUGUACUUGUAUUUCACUUGAAAGUCUGUUAUCUUUAUGGAUAAUAAACAUUAAUUAUUAUCUGUAAUGUAAUGGUUAUUUUAUUUAUUGUAGCAUAACUUAACAUAGUUUCGGUGGUAUGUCUUCAUAGAACAUUAUUUAGAUAGCAAAAACAAGACCACCUGUAUUUAUAUUACAUAUUUACUUGGCCUUUUAGAUUAAUUAAAGUUCUGAGACUUCUGAGCACAAGUAGUGUAAUUCAAGUUACAGCUGUGAUUUCAGGCAAAUUAAGCAUUUUGCUUGGUAGCUGAAACCUUUAAA
Ostrinia nubilalis (European corn borer) is the source of this 875-nucleotide long non-coding RNA. RefSeq lists it as uncharacterized. Lineage: Eukaryota; Metazoa; Arthropoda; Insecta; Lepidoptera; Crambidae. The transcript is spliced from 2 exons. The record is from RefSeq and is a predicted model, not a curated record.